AUGAUUUAGGAACUCGUUUGGUUU
RNAcentral lists this small nuclear RNA (24 nucleotides) under Arabidopsis thaliana (thale cress). Its description in RNAcentral is "snRNA_12195". The record is from RNAcentral. Lineage: Eukaryota; Viridiplantae; Streptophyta; Magnoliopsida; Brassicales; Brassicaceae.